This 273-nucleotide unclassified non-coding RNA is filed under the name Hevea brasiliensis (rubber tree). The record is from RNAcentral. Lineage: Eukaryota; Viridiplantae; Streptophyta; Magnoliopsida; Malpighiales; Euphorbiaceae.
GCAAUAGAUUUGUGAGGUCUGUUAAAUAAGAUAUUAACGAAGAUGUCAUAGGCAAUCAGAAGAUGAAACAUCAGAAGUUUUGACAAGCUAUGACAUGUAUCCCAUAACAGUUGUCUAUUGUAUGUAUAUUUUAGAUGGCAGUAUAAGUUAAUGACUUAAUGAUAAAACCUUCUUCUUGUUCUGGGUUCAACAAAGGGAUACUGGGAAGCACAAAUUUGAACUGCUAAAUGUGUUCAUCACACUUUAAAUUCAACAAUAUGUUAAAUUGUUCAU